RNA transcript from Mus musculus (house mouse), 1886 nucleotides. It is a transcript of the gene named N-terminal Xaa-Pro-Lys N-methyltransferase 1, with no coding region annotated. Lineage: Eukaryota; Metazoa; Chordata; Mammalia; Rodentia; Muridae. The record is from RefSeq and is marked validated. The transcript has 4 exons.
AGAGGCCGCGAGGUGUCUGGUCCGGUAGAGUGGUGGCGGCUGCUGUGGGCUACGGUCUUUGCCAGCCUCCUUCUCAACCCGUCCUUUUCUCUCGGGUCCCUGGAGCCCCGACCCAGUGGCUAGACCUAGAUGAAGGACACAACAGACAGCUGCCUUGGACACAGCUUCCCCAAGGGUUCAGAAACUCCCCUAGCAUCUUCCGUGAGAUUCUCCAUGAGGAUUUGGGAUUUAGAAUUCCCCCUGUACUUGAGGACUAACUCCUUUUGAAGUUAUGUGCGCCAGGCCCCCACCUCUGCCACCUGAUGAAAGGCAGCAGUCCUAGCUGAAGUUGAUCAUGAGUUUCCUCCCUCCAAGCCUUAUUCCAGAACUUUGUGCCCUGCCGGAUACAUAUGGAAGGAUCCAGGUUCAAGAGGCAAACCCUGUUCGUCAUAUCAGAAACUGCAAAGCUUUAGGCCAACUUGCAGGAAGGAUGGCCAGGAACAGCGACUUACAACCUGUGUGCCCAGGGACAAGUGACUGUGGGACUUUUUGGUGGCACUGAAAGCUUCUUUUGUGGUAAAUGGGGCUGUGAGGCCAAUGCCCCACGGGUGCCUGAUAACUGGGAUCUUAUCCAGAUAGUCAGGACAGCGAACCUGACACCCAGCGGACUGGUGGGCUCGAUGGAGGAACCCCAUCUCCAUCUCAAUAACGGAGAAGGGACAGAAGAGCAGAGGAUGGGAGGCUGGGAAGGCGCGGGGCUUAAUGGUGUAUCAUGGACACAAUAGGGGACUCCACUCUUCCAGUCCAUCUGGAACCUCUCUAUAGUGAUAGGACCAGUGGCACUGGCAACACCAACACCCAUCCUAAAAGCCACAUCAGCCUCAGUUCCAGAUCCCUGCUCUUCCCUCGCCCUAAACAUGUUUGCAGUCACCCUUACCAUGGAAGCCAGCAGCUCCUUUGUCAUGCACCAUAGUGUAACUUGAUCUACAUGCCCCUCAGGUUUGACCCCUUGGUUCCAUCCACAGGUACUCCCAAAACCCCAGCUUGUGUGUUUGGCUACUCUGUUCCCUUAAGUCUGUUAUCUUCCUUAUAGUACCUAUAUGGAGAUGGCUCUGGAUCAUCACAGGAAAAGACAAGAUUUGGGGCCUCAGCAAUUUGACUUACUUCCAGUGCUAGUGGGGUCUAGCACAGCUGUGGGAAUCGGCACUGGUACUGAUAGAACCUAGUGGGGAAACCCCCACUCAAUUCAGCGUGCACCCAAAAAAUCACAAAUGAUGGUCAUCUUGAUGUAAUUACACGAGGUAGUUUAAUGACAACGGAGCUCCGGAGCGAUAUGCAUCCCACACAGGAGAUGCCGGCCAUGAGGCUCGAAAGCUAGGGGUUUUUAUGGGGUAAGGGGCUUGGGGGUGUGGAAUUCAGCACAAUGAUACACUAUUGGCUUAUUCAAACAUCAGCAGAAAAAUUACAUGUACGUUCAGGGUGUCAGAGUUCUGUGAGUUGUUGACUCAGUUCAGAUAGCCCUGUUAUGUCCUCACAUUCCUCUUUAUCUUUAAGGUUAAGCUGUUCCCAGGAAUAUUUUAACUACGGGGCAUGCCCGGGUUUGUUUUUCUUUUUUCUCAGCCCCAGGCAGCCUCUAGGCUCACAAACAACCAGCAAUUUCUGAGUACUUUAUAUGACUUACAGGUCUUGAAAUUUCAUCUUUCAGUACCACAGCCCUAGUCAAGGCACAUCAAUGCUUCAGGCCUUAAACAACCCUACAGACUUAAAUCUAGCUAAAAUUCCCCUAGUUCCCUAUAAAGAGUCCUGUGUGCCUUUCUCUGGAGUUGUCGCCAUAUUUGUGAGUGGCUAACCCUGCAUGCAGGCUUUCUACUUUUGCGAAAUAAAAACUCUAGCCAAUUGCAUAUGGG